UAUCCAAGGUUGCCGCAGCAUCGAAGGGCCCAACCAUAUUGGUCUUGAUGUCUGGGGGGCCUAUUGAUGUGUCUUUCGCUGAGAAUGAUCCAAAAAUUGGAGGCAUCGUAUGGGCUGGUUAUCCUGGCCAAGCUGGAGGAGCAGCCAUUUCUGAUGUCUUGUUUGGAACUACUAACCCAGGUUUGGUUUUAGUAGUGCUUGUUCGAGUGUCUUAUUAGGCUCACUUCAUCAGGAAUGUAACAGAGAAUAACGACUUGUUUUUUUGUCUUGCAGGAGGCAAGCUACCUAUGACAUGGUACCCACAAGAUUAUGUCACAAAUUUGCCUAUGACAAACAUGGCCAUGCGACCAAGCAAAUCAAAUGGCUAUCCUGGAAGAACCUAUAGAUUCUAUAAAGGUAAAGUGGUGUACCCAUUUGGUCACGGAAUAAGCUACACAAAUUUUGUUCAUACCAUUGCAAGUGCACCAACAAUGGUUUCUGUACCCCUUGUUGGACACCGCCAGGCCUCCAGAAAUGCAACCAUUUCAGGAAAGGCAAUCAGAGUUACACAUGCUAGAUGUAAUAGGCUGUCGUUUGGAGUGCAAGUAGACGUGAAAAACACUGGCUCCAUGGAUGGAACUCACACAUUGCUCGUCUACUCUAA
Molecule: long non-coding RNA, 643 nt
Filed under: Populus trichocarpa (black cottonwood)
Lineage: Eukaryota; Viridiplantae; Streptophyta; Magnoliopsida; Malpighiales; Salicaceae
Description: long non-coding RNA (PTRI_LNC000711)
Source: RNAcentral